AGUGUACAGUAAUGCUCCAAGCCGCAACGUCACUCUGAGCGCGUGCGUGAGUGAGCACAGAGUGAAGCCAUGGCCUGUCGCCGGCAAAGAUAGUUCCAUGGGAUAUUUCGAUCUCCGUCCGAAACAGUUUCAAAGCACACUUUUGAGAUGCUUCUUCUCUCUCUUUUUCUGUUGAACGUUGAGGAAACUUCAGUGGAUCGGCAUUCCGCCAGUCGCCAGAAGCUCAGGCCAGAAGUGUCUGUCUCUUCUUACUGUGCCGCUUGUUCACCUUUUCUGUGGCAAGCAUAGUGAACGGUAUACAUGAUAUAUAUAUAUACAUAUUUAUACAUAUAUCAGAUGUCACACGGGUGUUAAAUAUUGAUUAACCGUAAAAAUGGCGUGAAAAUUCAAAAGCAAAUUUGAAAUGUGCCGACAUGUCAUCUCGGUAGUCGCUGCAUCCUUUCAGGCGUCUACCGUAGUUACAUUGGCAAUUUAACGGAAAUACUGGAUCCCUAGAUGAAAAUGAUGAUAUCAAAAGUUGGUCUGUUCUUAUGGAUGAAUAGUAGGGAAAAUCCUGUAGUAAAUUUACAGCACCGCAUAUUGAAGGAUUUCCAAAUCAUGAAGAUGCUGGCAAAGCGUAUGUUCCCAAGUUUGAUUACUUGCAGUUCUAAGGCUGCUGGCAUCUUAGCACCUUUAACUAUUCCUCCUGCACAUAUUGCUGCACUUUACUAUUUCUGGCCAGAAUUCUCACGAGAUGUCGACAAGCGUUAUUGCUCAUGUUCUUGUUGGGACACCGUGUUCAAGGGCUCCUAUGAAUCUGGUGUUGCAUCUUACAAGCAUAUGUAUUUUAAUGCCACUGCUAAUACCAUAAAAAUAUGGUUUAUGAUAGUAGUUGGUAUAAUUAUAUUUUACGAAAGUGUGAAAGAUUUAGCAUGGCUAGCUAUGCAAUGUCGUCUGAGAUUUAGAAUGUUGAUACUUUUUGGAACUGCAGUGUUUUCUCAUUACUAUUCAUGGUGGGUGUACAUAAAUUAUUGGAAUGACGAGUUUUAUUCCCAGUGGUAUCAUCAAUUGUUUUUCACUGCUACCGAAUUAUUGUCAACAAUUCUGGUUGUUCAUUUGGCUGAUGCAAAAAAUCCAAUCACACAUAGAAAAGCAUUUGGCAUCGCUGCUAUUGCAAUCAUGCAUAUUUUAGCUGGUAGUUGGGACCAGUUCAUCACCAAUGUUGUUAGAGGAGAGGGAUAUUCCCAUCAGGUAAUUCGGGAUCUGGGGUUCAUGAUUCCUGAUAUUCUUCAUGUUGCCAUCCCUCUAUGGUCUGUGGAAUGGCGUAACGCCUAUGGCCUACCUGGAGCUGGAUCCAGUCAGAAUAUCAGACGUGAUCUCACGUGUAUUUCAGGAAUGGUUAUAAUCGGAUUAUGUUUUUGUGCUGCCCUGUGAUAUGCAAAGCGAUGAGUUAGUAAUCAAAAUAAACAUGAGCAGCUGCUUAGUGCUUAUCUUAAAAGCAUAGCAAUGAAUGGAACUUUGGAUUAUAACAGGGUGAUUGUUUGAUUCUGCAAGAAGGCAGCAAAAGAAUUACGUACGUACCACAAUUGAGAUCAACCUAAAAGAUAGAAUUAUUUAGUUGUGUGGAUCCAAUGGUGAAGUUUAUGAACCAAUAUGUGUAAUGAUGAAACUAUUGUAUUAGACUCUUGUUGAAGUUCGCGCUUUUUCAAAAUCGCAAUCUACAAUACAGUGGGAAUUUAAUUAUUUUCGAAUUCGACCUUAAAAUUAAAGUGGGUAUCGAGUGUGGAUUCCCUAAUGUUCAACCAGUAAAAAGACAGGGAAACUCCGGAAUUCAGAUUCAGUGAGUACUUUUCUUUUCUGAGUCGACUUAUGAACGUCUUCCACCAUAUCAAUGGUAUUCUCAAUAUUAAGUACGUAAAUCGAAUCCUAUGUAUCAAAAUUUAUUUCAACAGCACAUACUUAUUCACGAGUAUUCAAUAUUGGCAAAUAAACCUUACUAUUGGGCCACUUUAGAUAACGAUGGAGGUAAUUGUUGCUAGAUCUGACAAAAUGACUCAGCCUUCUGACAUGAGAACUGAAUACGAAUUUGGACUCUGUUAAAAGCUGUUCUUAAGGGGAUUGUCUAGUGUAAUGGCUGUAUUUUUAAAGGUUUUUUGGAUAUUUUUUUAAGAUAAAACUUUGAAAUAAAAUUUCUCAUAGUUUUUAUGUUCUAUUUAUUGACAUUUAAACAAUCUUUAUUAUACCUAUACUUAUAGCCUCAACUAGGAUAAUCAUGAUGACUUUGAUAAUUUUUGUUUUACGAGCUAAACAAAUUGAUCAAAAACUGCAAAUCAAAUAUUUUUUCAUAAAAUAUAAACUACCAGAGCAAUCAUGAUUAUCCUAGUUCACGCGAUAGGUAUAGAUACAAUAAAGUGCUGUAAAAAUUUGAGUAGGAUCGCUCCAGUGCUUUUAGAGAUAUCAUGUCUACACUUUUCUUACAUACGUUCCUAUCGGGCGGUAUACAUUAGGUUAUGAGAAGUUUUAUUUCAAUGCUUCGACUUAAACAAACCCCCAAAAAAUCGUUAAAAAAAACAGCCUUCAUAUUGGACGACCCCCUUAACUUUGAAAGUUCGUAGCUCUUAGUAUAUGAACCAAAAAAAGCAGUGAAAUAUCGCUGAUUAGUUAUUGUAUACAAUGCAAGAUCUCUUGAUGUGAGAGUGUUGCUACCAGUGGUUACGUUUUAAUAACCUAAAGGAACUAAUAUUGUGUUCGAGUUUGAGCAUUAGUCCCAAUAGGUCGUAUUUUGACCAAAGAGUUAAGAAGUGUUAAGGAGUUAUAUACGAGUAGACAGCUGAAAAGGAGUUGAAUUUUGAAAAUUCAUAUCUCGACAACCAAUUAUUCAUCAAGUCAAUCGAACUCUGCUUUAUACAAAAGUAUGUUGACAGUCAUCAUUUAUCACGAGCAAACUAUUUGACGUUAUUGUCAAUAAAAAUACUUGAUCUACGUAAUUUUUAAUAAAACAGACUCCGAUCGAAUUGAACAAUUGGUUGUCGAGAGGUAAAUUCCCAAAACAUACCCAUAUUUUCAGCCAUCUAUUUGUCUACACCCCCUUAAGACAGUUCACCCUAGGCAUAUCUUUUUGCUCAAUCUAGAAGCUCGAAGUAGUUCAGGGUUAAUUACAGUUUUUUAUACUUGCCGACUCAUCAACUGUGGUCAUAAUUUAAUUGAAUUCGGUCAUUGCAGAAAACUAUUGUCUCCCUAUGGUUUUCUCAUCCGUUUGUCCUGCAAAUAAAUCUCUGGUCAACAAAUCUUACAAUCAAUAGCAUGUUGAUCAUCCAUAAUUUGAUAGAAUUUUUUAUAGUACAUAUUUUAUAAUACGUUACUUCACCAAGGUAAUUGAUAUUAUAGUUAUAGAUGAGACAAGAUGUUUUAUCGGUUUAAAAUAUCUUAAAUCAUACUAUAGAUUGUUUUAAUUGUUAGACUAUAGUGCGAUCAAUCAGCAUAAAUUAAUCACGUUGAUUUUUUUACUUCGAUCUUACUUAUUCAUUCAUUGUUCAUAGUGUUCAAGGGAUGUCAGCAAGAAGUUCAUGUUAAACAUAUUUUUUUAAUUUUUCGCUACUCAAAUAGUGCAUUUUCAAAGACGUUAAAACGCAAUUUGUUUUUACAGAUAUGUAAAUCACUCAAAGAAUUAUAAAAUUAUUGAACAUUCAUAAUGAUAAAAUCGUGAACCCAAACAAUUUAUUUGACAAAUUCGUUCGAAAUUUCUUACUCACAUACGACAAUAAGAAUAAUCAAUUACCGUUUAAGUUACUGUUGCAAAUUCUGUAAGAGGCUAUAUUAAUUCCCAUGUAUAUUUAUUGUAGUACAGUAGCAUUUACGUACAAAUGAAACAGGUAAAGACUAGUUUAGUACAGAUAUUUUUUAGUAUAACUCAUUAAAAAUUUACUCUCCGUUUAUACUUUUUAUUGCGAAAUAAAUUUAGCUUUAUUUGAAACCUUGCGAGAACGAUGUAGUCAGUAUUUACCGACUGAAGAAAAUGUCGCUUCAUUUGAGUGCUACAGAAAAUGCAUGCUGAACAAAAGUAUCGAAAAAUAUUUCUGCUUCAUACACAAAAAUAAAAAAGGCUGGGAAAUGUUUUCAUAAAGUAAGUAGUACAUAAUAGAAUUACAGGAAUAGAUUUUUUGACAUUAUUGUUGCGUAAAAAAAACUUUUUUGGGGUACUUGUAUUUCACAUUGCAUGUAGAAUUGCGCAAACUGCGGUAUUUUUACAUCAGUGACGUUUAUAUUCUGAUAAAAUUCAAAAUAAAUGACAUUCAACGCGGUCGGUAAACAUUGACUCUAGCGUCCGCUUAAAAGACUAUGGGGUGUACAGUCAGGUUGAAAAAGUGUUGGCACAAAAACGUGAUGAAACAAAGCUUUAGAUAGUGUCACUGAAGCUAUUUUAGUUACAUUCAACUGUAAAAAAUGAAAUGGAAGAAUGGAAAUGUUAAAACACUGAAAUUCAACUAUAAACAACUCAUUAUUUUAACUACACCAUAGAAACCUCAUUAUUCUACUCUUUUUUCGCCGAAAAAUCUGUAUUACAUUUCUAAUUCCAAUUAGCUGACUAUUCCAAUAACUGACUUUAUCCGUAAAUAGAUUCUCCACAGAUCGUCUAAUAAUGAGUAAAAUUGUGAUGAAUUGUAUACAUCUUUUUUCUUGCCAUCUGACAAACUUAAGAAAGAAUAUGUCUCAGACAAUUUGCAAGGCAUUCAUUUACGAAUAAAAUGAGUUAUUUGUCAAUAGAGUCAAACAAAUUACUUAGAUAAUUCGGUGAAAAAAUAAUGUGAUAAUGCAAUUUCUCUGACGCUAAUAACGCGGUGUUCACAAUUGAAAUUCAGUAUUGAAACAUUUGCAUCUGGGUCACAUAGACUUUCUUGAAUCUGAUAUAACUUGGUCAGCCUCAGUUGCCCUGUUUAACUUUCGUUUUCUUAUAUUUUCUAAUAAAAGCCCUAUACACGCAUUAAAUAUUUUACGACCUUGUAACGUUAACAUAUCCAAUCAUUUUGCAAUUUUAGAAUGGCUACAAUCGCAGCUAUUCAGAAAUAAGGUCUUAGUAAGGCCAAUUUAUUGUAUUCCGCAUAUAUAAACCUAUACACCAAUUUUAAAGUUGUGAAAUAGCGUACCAAGUUGAACGUCCUAACGUGUUUUUUUUGUGCAUAUUUGAGAAAUUUACAAUGUCAAAAGAACUCAUUCUAUUGCAGAUCAUGAAAUGUGAACUAAUAGUAAGUCGAAAAGACGUUUCAAUUCUUUAUAUCAUGUAUUGAUUAUAUUAUUUUUAUCUACGAAUACAAUAUUUGAAGAAGAAGAUAUAAUUAUUAGGUACCUAAAUAUAAGGUAGUGCAGAAAAGCAUAUAGGAUUUUAUAUACGAAUUUGACUUUCCAGGUAAUUUUUCGUGUUCAACGAAAUGAACCAAUCUCAAUAUCUGUCUUUUGUUUCUGCAUGCAAUAAUUUUUUGAACCUGCAUCCUUAUUAGAAUGGUCCUUAAAAAGGUAAUUUUUGACUUUCGACUGGCUCGUCCCCCAAAUCAAUUCCAGAUAAUUAAAAAAUAAUGAACUCAUUUUUUCAGAUUCUUGUAUCAACUCUAAGCAGUCCCGAAAGAGGGUGGAUUCCAUUCAACCCUUUCAGUGGCACAUCAAAUCUGCCGAAGGGAUUUAGAUGAAAUUUAGUAUAGGAGGGUUUCUUAGGCUGCUGGUUACGAAUCUGAAUUCAAAAUUUGCAAAUUCAAAAUGGCAGACCCAAUAUGGUGGAGCUAAAUCCAAAAAGUCAUUUGAUUUCCGAAAAACUGUAAUCAAUCUGUAAUCGAAAUUCCAAAAUUCUAAAUGGUGGAUCCAAUAUGGCAAUAUCAAGUGACUUGGGAUUUUGGUCCACCAUGUUGGAUCGCCAAUUUGAAAUUAAAAAUGUUGAGUUCAGAUUCUCAACAAGUGACCCAAAAAACCUCACUAGACCAAAUUUCAUCUAAAUCCGUUUUCUAGAUUUGAUGCGCCCCUGAAAGGAUUGAAUGGGGAAAUCCACCUUCUUGGGGACACGGGUUAAAGUUAAGAUAAAAAUGCGAAGAAAUUAGGGAAUUACUUUUGAAUCAUUUGGAGACGAUUUGGGGGGUGAGCCGGUCGAAAUUUGAAAAUUACCUUUUUAAGGACCACCCUAAUCCUCAUGUACAGAAAUGAAUGAAAGAAGUUUUGGACUUUGGCUUUAUUGAGAGUAUCAUUUCGUUCCAACGACAAUACUCGAAAAAUCACUGAUUCUACGGAUAGUUAGUAAGUUUAGAAAGAAGAGAAAGGGUACUUACUAAAAAAGCUCACCGUUUUGGUAUUUUUAAAAAUCCAGAAGCGCAAGACUUUGCACCAGUGAAAGAAAACCUUUUCAACUCAGAGUUUCUGUACUAAUGCAGUUUUUAAACAAAUUGCAAACAAUUUUUUCAGCAUUUGCAUUUCGAGGUGCAGAAAUUUCAUGUUAAUAAAUUAUCGAUGUCAUCGGGUUUUGGAGUUUUGCAGUAUUGGGAAUGGAAAUGCUAGGAUCUGUGACAUGUGGUGGCAAAAAAUGCAUUACUCUGACUGAGCCAUGUUGAAUUUUGAAACACCUCGUUUAUCGUAUCUUUUGCAGCAUAUUGAUUCCAUGUGAAAAAAGUUAAGCCUCAUAAUUUGGAAAAAGUUGCCGGUACUUUCCCAUUCGCGUAAUUAACCUGAAACUAUAAGCUGAUAAUCGAUUUUUCGACGCCAAAUUGUUUAGUCAUGCCCCUUUAUUAGUUUCCAAAACUCAGCAAAACGCGAUGACUUUUUCAACAGGCCAAAGAUCAAUAAUUCACAGUUUGGGCCCAGAUUUGAAAACAAAAUCGAAAAUAAAACGUUUAGAGUGGCAUCAUAAAUAGUUCUAAUAUGAAAAAUUCCGUACUUCGUUAACAUCAGGGUUGUAAAAUUCUGAAUGAAAAAAUAAUACAUUAAGGAUUAAAUUAAAUUUUUUAAUGAAAUUUUUCUCCAUAAAAUAAUUAAAAUUAAUGGCAAUGGAAAUGCUUCCUAUUAAAAAAUCAAAAUUAAUGAUUAAUGAAAAUACCAAUGCAUUAAAAAGUUGAUGCAUUAUUUACAACUCUAGUUGACAUCAUAUUUUGUUAGUCAAAUUUUGAAUUCUGAAUCAAAUAUCUUGUUUUCCAGGAAAUCUCAUCGGAUAAAUUAACAUUUAUUUACACUAAAUUGUAUCGGAAGUAUCGCCAACUGGUAUCUACUAAUAGCUUAGGAUUUAUAAGUGUAUGUACACCUCCCGAGGUGGAUUCUGACCGAUUCAAGUCAACCCGUGUCGACUGCUGUGCAACACGGGUGGCUUUGAAUCGGUCAAAAUCCACUUUGGGAAUUGUACAUGGAAAGUUUCAAAUCAAAACGUUACAUAAAUAUUUAUAGACGGAUAACUUUUUAUAUGAAUUUUCUGCACGUACGUAUCUGAAGGGUCCCGCUUCAACUUUUAGCGCCAAUUUCAGAGGUACGUGAAAAUACUUGAUAGAUAGGUGGAUUGUUUAGAUAUGAGAGAUUGAUAUAAUAGCUGUAUUACGGUAGAUGUUUACACACUUGAUUGAAUAAUUUGACGGACGAAUCGGACUUUGAAGGGCCGGAUGGUAUAUUAUAGGUGCAAAAGAACUAUACAACUCUUGAGAAUCAACAUCAAGUGUCUCACGCAGUUGAUUUAAACAAUACAAACUGUUAUGUUUCAUGUGGAUUUUAUGUGUGAUGUAGUAUGAGAGUAACAAAAAAUGAUUUUCUUCCCAAUACAAGACGGCUAUGAGAAUUUUGAAAGUGCCUCUACGUAUAAUAAUAACCGAAAUUAUUUAUAUCUAUUAUUGUUAAUGAAAAAUAGUUAUGAUUUGUAUACAUAUAAGAUUUAAAUUGUGAACACGUUAGAGACUUGUUUUAUAUAGAACUUUGGAAUGAUGUACAGGCAGCUGUGCAAUUGAAUUUUUUAUGUUUCAUAUAUUUUAUAGAAAUUUCUUCGAUUGUUUUUUUUUUUUUUUUUUUUUUUAUAUAGUAUCUACAGUAGUAAUACGUAGUUAAUUAAUAGAAUUAGAAAUUUGUUACCAAAAAUUACAACUGCUCUGUCGGAGUAUCGGACUAUUCAAGCUAAAGUGUAAUCGGAACCUAAAUCCCAAGUAUUUGUUAUUUUACAAAACACACAGAAGUAUACGAAUAUCAUUUUAUUUUUACAAUAACCGUAAAUACUCGUUUUUUUUUUAGUAUCACUUCAGGCUGAUGAAGACUUACAAUUUUAAAUUCAACUGUACUCUAAACACUUAUUACACUCACGAAUUUCACUGCUCCAUUGCCUGGUGAAUCCCAAUACUUCGUGUCGCUGGAAACUGUCGUAAUAUUUCGUAGGGGAUAAUAUCACGAAUGUCCGUUAAACGUUUAACGGGCGUAAUGUAUAACGGCCUGUUAUAAUCUCCUGUUUUCAUCAUUUUGACUGUCACAUUUACGCUGGUUAUACGUUUCACAAGAUAACAACAAUGAAGACUAGAUUAUAACGGGCCAUUAUGUAUUACGCCAGUUGAACGUUUAACGGAUGUUCUUGAAUUCGAUGUCCUAUCGAGAAUUGAAGCAUAAUCUUUAUCGGUAGCUACUCUGAAUGUAACAGUAGCAGAUUGUAACAAAUAACGCACACUAAUAUGUUCGAUACGAUAAAACUAGAACAGUCGACAAAGAAUUCUGUUAUACGAUUGUUAUUAAAUAAACGAGUAUCUGUCGAUCGGUUGCUUACGAAAAAUAGAACAGGUGCACUGAAAUUUCAGUUUUAAACAAGACCUCGUGGUUUACGUAAAAAUUACCGAAGGUCCUUCUACCGUUUAGAUUGUACAAUUUUAGACAUAGGUAAACUGUUUGUAGUGCUAAACGUAACCGAUUACUCGAUACGUUCUAGAUAAUUACUGCAUUUCAAAGAUUUUCAUAGUUUAUUUUCAAAUUUGAAAUGAACUGUAUAGUAUUACUGUCAUGGAGUGAUAAUAGUCAUAUCAGAAAUGUGAAGUGCAAUAAUGAAUAUUUUACUUCAGUAAUCCUUGUACAACAAGCAUCUUAGUAAUUUAUUAAUUCUCACGUGUAGUUUAUUGUGAAAAAAAGAAAUCGCUGAAAACUAAAUAAACUUUGCAGCGAUA
This 9125-nucleotide unclassified non-coding RNA is filed under the name Neodiprion pinetum (white pine sawfly). RNAcentral describes it as "uncharacterized LOC124214115, transcript variant X6". Lineage: Eukaryota; Metazoa; Arthropoda; Insecta; Hymenoptera; Diprionidae. The record is from RNAcentral.